GUACACGCUGUGACUAGCAUAUCAAUAAGCGGAGGAAAAGAAACUAACAAGGAUUCCCCUAGUAACGGCGAGUGAAGCGGGAAGAGCUCAAAUUUGAAAUCUUAAAGGGUUUCCCUUUACGAAUUGUAGUUUAAAGAAGUGUUUUCUGUUGAGGUUUUGGUAAAAGUUCUUUGGAAUAGGACAUCAUAGAGGGUGAGAAUCCCGUAUUUGACCUUUACUUUCAACUUUGUGAUACACUUUCAAAGAGUCGGAUUGUUUGGGAAUGCAGUCCAAAAUGGGUGGUAAAUUUCAUCUAAAGCUAAAUAUUGGCGAGAGACCGAUAGCGAACAAGUACCGUGAGGGAAAGAUGAAAAGAACUUUGAAAAGAGAGUUAAACAGUACGUGAAACUGUCAAAAGGGAAGCGUUUGACACCAGUGUUGUUUUUCUGAAAAUCAAUUAAAGAACUGUUUAUGCUAAGUUGUUUAGACUUUAUCAGCUAUCUGUUUAGUUUUGAGCUUUUCUUUAAUGCACUUUUCAGUUAACAAGUCAACAUCAAUUUCUUUUGCUGUAAAAAAGCUUGAGGAAGGUGGCUUGAGAUUCGUCCUUAAGUGUUUAUAGCCUCUUGCCUAUGCAGUCGGAGAGAUUGAGGUCUGCAGCGUAGAUCCUUCGGGGCUAAAUGCAUUUGUGCUAAGUUAUAGCAUUUUAUAGACAACUUGUUGACUAUGAUUUGUCUUGUAGCUUACUCGCUUAUGUUAUUUUACCUACGCUUAGGAUGUUGAGUCGUAGAGCACGCA
RNAcentral lists this ribosomal RNA (774 nucleotides) under uncultured Neocallimastigales. RNAcentral's name for it is "partial large subunit ribosomal RNA". It matches the Rfam family "Eukaryotic large subunit ribosomal RNA", at positions 22 to 628 of the family's 3401-position model. The record is from RNAcentral. Lineage: Eukaryota; Fungi; Neocallimastigomycota; Neocallimastigomycetes; Neocallimastigales.